This 296-nucleotide unclassified non-coding RNA is filed under the name fungal sp. RNAcentral's name for it is "partial internal transcribed spacer region". The stretch from base 1 to 46 matches the Rfam family "Eukaryotic small subunit ribosomal RNA", at positions 1786 to 1831 of the family's 1831-position model. Lineage: Eukaryota; Fungi. The record is from RNAcentral.
AAGUCGUAACAAGGUUUCCGUAGGUGAACCUGCGGAAGGAUCAUUACCAUAUUCUUCUAACAAGCCCUGCGCUUUCGAGAGAAUUGCAGGCAAAAACUAUGAGCAAGCGCCGCGCGGUUCCGCGUGGCGUGAGGGAGUCGGGCAUGCUGACAUGAGUGCCCGGCUCUAGCGCCGUUCCCCCAACGACACUCUCGUGUCGAUGGGGAGCUCUGAGGACGGACUCGUUCUUUACCGAACCCUGUGCUUGAAAAGGAACAAAAAUAUAGUACAACUGCAAACGGUGGAUCACUCGGCUC